This 1294-nucleotide long non-coding RNA is filed under the name Notechis scutatus (mainland tiger snake). RNAcentral describes it as "lncRNA (ENSNSUG00000007831.1)". The record is from RNAcentral. Lineage: Eukaryota; Metazoa; Chordata; Lepidosauria; Squamata; Elapidae.
UCCAUUGUUUCCUGUCUGGCCUUCAGGUGCAGUUAAGCUUCUCCAAGUGUUUGUGCCAUGAAGCCCCACUUGGAUUAUAAACAGUUGUGGGUGUGAGUGGCUGGUUUGGACUCACUUUUUUUCCUCUCAUUCUGUUGCAGAAUAAGAAGCCUCCACCUGAUCAGAGGGACAUGAUGCUGGCUCUUCAACACAUGUUUAGAAUGAGCUCUGAAAGGCAUUGGCCAAAGUAAAGAUGCUUUGUCCUGAACUUUACAAAGGAGCUGAGAGGCCAUGAUGUCCAACUCCCAACCAAGCAGAUGGAGCAUCAUGGGUGCAAGUGGCGGGAAUGAGAUGAGAUUUAGUUCUCAGAAGUUUCCAAGGUGUCUGGCUCCAUUCUUCCUUCAGGGACCUUCCUCUUCAGUUUCACUUCAGCGAGGCUCCAAUUCAGCAUCUCUUUGGGUCACCUGGGUUCUUCAGCCUCCAUAUGCACUUUUGAAGAAUUGUCGCUUGGGAAAUGUGAUUUUGAGUGAGCCAGGUUCUGAGCCUCCUUGAAGAGCGCUGGCUUGGUUUGUGUUCUUUAAGCUCCUUUGUCAGCUGAGCUUAGUGGAGGGUAUUCAGGUAAUCCUCGAGUUAAGAAUGUGAUAGAGCCUGCCAAUUACAUUGGUAACACAAACAUUCAUUUGUUUGAAUCACGUUAAAUGAAUGUGAUUGUCAGCCUUCAAGAUCUUCCUUUCCUUUGCUUCUUUCUGGCUGCCAUGAGUAAGGGGGUGUGUGGAAGGGGGAGAUGUAUGGGACGUGAGCUGAAAGUGUUACUAACUGAUAUUGUAUAAACUGGGGAGGGUUUCUCAUUCCUGCUUAGCUUUCUCUUCUCUGCGCAAUUGCAAACCUUUAUCUGAGUAAGCCAAGGUCAAUUAAUCAUCACCACCUGGAGAUGUCCACAUGAUGGAGUUCACAACUUUUAAUUAGAAGAACCGUUUCAACUAUUGGGGGUGGGAACAUUUCACUCCCUUGAUAUAUGUGAUGUACGUGCCUAUUUCCCCAGAUUCCCAUAAAAGUAUGUGAUUUAAUUGAAAAGUAAUGAUUUAAAUGUUUAAGAUAUGAAUAUUAAUACUAAUGAAUAGAUUUGUAUUAUUUUUGAUAAUAUAGUAUAAUUUUAGAAUGUACCAGACAGAAUCCCAAUAUAUGUUAUGUGUUUUAUAUUAAGUAUUAUAAAUGUAGGGGAAAGAGAUAAAGGCAUCAUACUCCAUAUAGUGUGCAGGAGAAGUUUUUUCUUUUUUUUAAAGAAGGAAAAUAAAGGGCUGGCUGGAAUAGAACA